Molecule: non-coding RNA, 125 nt
Organism: Brachypodium distachyon (stiff brome)
Lineage: Eukaryota; Viridiplantae; Streptophyta; Magnoliopsida; Poales; Poaceae
Source: Rfam
CUGCUACUCCGUCCGUUCCAUAAUUCUUGUCAAAAUGUUAUAUGUAUCUAGACGCUUUUUAGGAAUAGAUACAUCCAUAUUUGGGCAAAUUUGAGACAAGAAUUAUGGGACGGAGGGAGUAGUUC